CNNNGGGGGGGSGUGCAGUAGGGAAUCUUCCGCAAUGGGCGAAAGCCUGACGGAGCAAUGCCGCGUGAGUGAUGAAGGUUUUCGGAUCGUAAAGCUCUGUUGCCAGGGAAGAACGCUUGGGAGAGUAACUGCUCUCAAGGUGACGGUACCUGAGAAGAAAGCCCCGGCUAACUACGUGCCAGCAGCCGCGGUAAUACGUAGGGGGCAAGCGUUGUCCGGAAUUAUUGGGCGUAAAGCGCGCGCAGGCGGUCAUUUAAGUCUGGUGUUUAAUCCCGGGGCUCAACCCCGGAUCGCACUGGAAACUGGGUGACUUGAGUGCAGAAGAGGAGAGUGGAAUUCCACGUGUAGCGGUGAAAUGCGUAGAUAUGUGGAGGAACACCAGUGGCGAAGGCGACUCUCUGGGCUGUAACUGACGCUGAGGCGCGAAAGCGUGGGGAGCAAACAGGAUUAGAUACCCCC
This 459-nucleotide ribosomal RNA is filed under the name Paenibacillus mobilis. Its description in RNAcentral is "bacterial SSU rRNA". The record is from RNAcentral. Lineage: Bacteria; Bacillati; Bacillota; Bacilli; Caryophanales; Paenibacillaceae.